RNAcentral lists this ribosomal RNA (395 nucleotides) under uncultured Glomeromycotina. RNAcentral's name for it is "SSU rRNA". It matches the Rfam family "Eukaryotic small subunit ribosomal RNA", at positions 569 to 971 of the family's 1831-position model. Lineage: Eukaryota; Fungi; Glomeromycota. The record is from RNAcentral.
AGCAGCCGCGGUAAUUCCAGCUCCAAUAGCGUAUAUUAAAGUUGCUGCAGUUAAAAAGCUCGUAGUUGAAUUUCGGGACCAAUAUGUCGGUCGUGCCUCGGUAUGUACUGGCAUCGUUGGUUUCUCCCUUCUGACGAACCAUGAUGUCAUUUAUUUGGUGUCGUGGGAAAUCAGGACUGUUACUUUGAAAAAUUAGAGUGUUUAAAGCAGGCUCACGCUUGAAUACAUUAGCAUGGAAUAAUGAAAUAGGACGUUUGAUUCUAUUUUGUUGGUUUCUAGGAUCGACGUAAUGAUUAAUAGGGAUAGUUGGGGGCAUUAGUAUUCAAUUGUCAGAGGUGAAAUUCUUGGAUUUAUUGAAGACUAACUACUGCAAAAGCAUUUGCCAGGAUGUUUUC